AAUAAACUAAUUUUCUAUUUUUUACCUUCAAUUUUUGACUCUUCGUCUUAUUUAAUUUUUUUUGCGAUUGAUAUUUUUGUUUUUAUUAGAUGAUAAAUAAUUUUACGUGUGACUAAUUUUUUUCUAAUUUUCUGAAUUUUUUUUCAAAUAAAACGGAUAGUCAAAUAUUGAACACGGAAACCGGAGAAUUCGUUUUUU
RNAcentral lists this microRNA precursor (198 nucleotides) under Oryza brachyantha (malo sina). RNAcentral's name for it is "MIR812 microRNA precursor family". It matches the Rfam family "MIR812 microRNA precursor family". Lineage: Eukaryota; Viridiplantae; Streptophyta; Magnoliopsida; Poales; Poaceae. The record is from Rfam by way of RNAcentral.